AUGCUCAUGUUACAAGACCUACAACUGACUUGGGAUCCAUGUGAGAAGAUCCUUGAUUGGGUUCAGCUUGUAGUACGAGUGCCUUGGGAUCCUGGUGGGUUGUCACGAUGUCGGCUUGAGGUCAAGCCCAAACUUAAGAGGGAGGGAUUGUCAGCAACCUCCUUGUACUGGACAUCGGGCUGGAUGGUGGGCUGCUCUUGGGCAUUGGCCUGCGCUGAAGUUUACAGAGGAAGCCACUACAAAUACCUGGAGAAACAAUGGAACGAGGCGGCUUGGACGGAUGGGCUUCGGCCUAGGCUCGGCGAGGCGUGCGAGUUCCUUCUUCCUCUUUCUGUAGAGCUCGUCUUCCUCAUCUGUCUUCUCCCUCUCUCUCUCUGGUUCUUCCUCCUGUAA
RNAcentral lists this ribosomal RNA (393 nucleotides) under Triticum aestivum (bread wheat). RNAcentral's name for it is "partial small subunit ribosomal RNA". Lineage: Eukaryota; Viridiplantae; Streptophyta; Magnoliopsida; Poales; Poaceae. The record is from RNAcentral.